This is a non-coding RNA of Pantherophis guttatus, 2408 nucleotides long. Lineage: Eukaryota; Metazoa; Chordata; Lepidosauria; Squamata; Colubridae. The record is from RefSeq and is a predicted model, not a curated record.
UCUCCCACUUCCUUUUAAAACUUUUUUCAGAGGAAAUAUAGAAACUGCAAAGCACAAACUGUGGUUUAUUAUCCUGUUUUGAGUUAAAGAGGCCAUGCAGAAAGGCAGAAGGCAAGGGAAAUGCUGCUUUGCUGAGGUCAGUUUGCAAACGGCUGCUCCAUGUGGCCAGUGAGAACGGCCCACAAUACUGAGUUCUGCAGAUCUCCAAAAGCAGCCACUUCACACAAGUCUCAAUAGAUCCAUCACAAAUUUUCUCCUGCUCUCUCCUACAAUCCUGGAAGUCUCUCAAACUAGCUGCAAGGAGUGUGAAGGAUGCAUAACUCUGGAUGUCUUCUGAAGAGCUAGCUACUCCACUUACUACGAUCUAUCAGAAUAAAAGGGUAAUAAACAUACUUGAAAAAAAUGGAUUGUGGUGGAAACACCAGCUGAAGAACAGGGGCCCAUCCAUAUUGAUGUUGGUGGUGGAGGAUCUUUUCAGCAAGACGGCACAUUUCAUCUGGAUGCCUUCCGUUACAGAUGAAUGAUUUAUAGAGCACUUUCAGAUCACAGAAGUCAACUUAGUUCCAUGAUUUGAAAGGCAUUAUUCCACCUUUUGAAGGUACAAAUCAGUUUGUCAUCAGCCCACCACCCUGUUACAAACAGGGAGGCUAAGACUAACCAGAUGCUGCAACACUAUUUAAAGUGUUACUGUACAUACAGCCAGGACAAUUGAAAUGACCCUGUUCCAGGCCUUACACAGGAAGCACCCAAGGGUUUUACCUGCGACCUCACAACAGGUUCUCAUCCUGGAGCCAUAGAUUUUUCUACAGGAGCAAUGUGCUGCUCAAGCACUGUUGAAAGAAUAGCUAGACCAAGCUAAACAGUCUUACAAAAAGUUUGCAGACUUCCCUUGGCAAGAGGGGCUGACAAAUGCAGAGGGAGAUAAUGUGUGGCUGCCUACCAAAUUUUUAGCCUUUUCUUAGCCCUGUUAAGGCCCUAUGACAGGUCAAUAUUGUGGCCUUUCUUUGUAAUUGCCACAGUCAAUGAAAAUGCACCCAGUUUUCAGCAUUCUUUGCUGGUGAAGGAAGCACCACCAAACACUUUGAAAUCACAACAGCAUCUACCUCACCCUCACCCCAUGAUUGUCGAAGGCAAAAAUGAAUUCAAAGUGGAAGAAAUAUUGGAGUCAAGGAGGCAGGAGAAAGGAAUACAGAAUUUGAUUCACUGGAAGGACUACCCAGUUCAUGGGAAAAUGUAAGCUCUUCCAGCCAUUUGUUUGUAUGUCAAGAUAUCCAACAAUCUGCUACCAAAUACAGGAGUUCGGAUAAUUACCCGACGUGCAGGCAGAUUUACCCCUGAAGAAAGUGUCGAAGUUGCUAUUAAAACUCGUAGGACACCUUGACGGAAAGCUACUUCAAUUAUGUCUCGUUCAUCAAAUGUCAAACCUGAAAAAUAGUUUAAGAUAAAUAUGCUUUAUAAAAUUAAUAUAUACCACUUUUCAUUUUCAUUAAAAUUUCAAUUAUCUCAGGGAUAUCAAACUCAAUUUCAUUGAGGGCCACAUCGGGGUUGUGUUUGACCUUGGGGAGGCAUGGCUGGGGAGGAGUGUGGCCAGUUCAAUGUCACUUGUGUUGGGGGCACCUGUGGUGGCUAAGUGCUAAGGCAGACCUUCCCUCAGACCUUCCCGCCCUCUAAUUAUAAUCUCCUUCCUUCCUCCACCACCCCCCAACUCUGUUUUCACUGGCAGAGGCACCGCGGGCCGGUCCUUUACUGUUUCCAGGGCCCAUGGUCUAAGCACCCCAUGGGUCGGAUUUGGCCCACAAGCCUUGAGUUUGACACCCCUACCCUAUCUGGAAAACAACUUCUUCCUGCCUUUAAUUUCAAACUUACUUGAAAAAUGUGUGCUGUUCUUAACAUCCCACUCUAACCUCAACUCAUUCUGAGGUUUUGCUUUUCUGAUACCUUCUGUACUUUCAGAAUUACUUCUAUGUACUUUCUUUAGUGACAUAUCGCUCUUUCCUUUUUUUAUGUGUUGUUCUUUUCAAUUUGUAGAUAUUCACUUAAUGAUUUUUCUAACUACAUUAGUUUUUGCUAUCCUCCAUUUUUUUUCCUUUUAGGACAUCCUUUUGUGGCUUUAUUAUCUCUCCUUUUUUUGUAGCCAUCUAUUUUUUUGUUCCUUACAAACAACUUUGGUUACAUGGAAUCCUACUUUUAAUGCUCUGACUUAAUUAAAGUGUAUAAUCUCAAGGUACAUGCCAAUAUAUGCACAACAAUUCUUAAUAUAUUGAGAAUUCCAAUAUUACAUGCGCCUUUCUGCUUAAAAUUCUUACAAUUUUCUGAACUGCUUAUUGUGUUCAUGACAAAACCCAUGUGAUUCUGCUGAGACAUUGGUUUCCUGCCUGGGGAAUAGUAUUAAUAGUAUUAAUCCGGUC